Molecule: ribosomal RNA, 498 nt
Filed under: uncultured bacterium
Lineage: Bacteria
Description: bacterial SSU rRNA
Rfam family: Bacterial small subunit ribosomal RNA
Source: RNAcentral
GACGAACGCUGGCGGCGUGCCUAACACAUGCAAGUCGAACGAAGCACUUCUUUAGAAGCAUUCGUGUGGAAGAAGAAAUGACUGAGUGGCGGACGGGUGAGUAACGCGUGAGUAACCUGCCCCAGAGAGCGGGAUAGCGUUUGGAAACGAACGGUAAUACCGCAUAAAGUAUUAGAUUCGCAUGGAUUUAAUACCAAAGAUUUAUCGCUCUGGGAUGGACCCGCGUCUGAUUAGCUAGUUGGUAAGGUAACGGCUUACCAAGGCGACGAUCAGUAGCCGACCUGAGAGGGUGACCGGCCACAUUGGGACUGAGACACGGCCCAAACUCCUACGGGAGGCAGCAGUGGGGAAUAUUGCACAAUGGGGGAAACCCUGAUGCAGCGACGCCGCGUGAAGGAAGAAGUAUUUCGGUAUGUAAACUUCUAUCAGCAGGGAAGAAAAUGACGGUACCUGACUAAGAAGCCCCGGCUAAUUACGUGCCAGCCGCCGCCGUAACAC